AGAGUUUGAUCAUGGCUCAGAACGAACGCUGGCGGCAUGCCUAACACAUGCAAGUCGAACGCGUGUAGCAAUACACGAGUGGCGCACGGGUGAGUAACGCGUGGGAACCUGCCCUUGGGUACGGGAUAACCCGGCGAAAGCCGGGCUAAUACCGUAUACGUCCUCCGGGAGAAAGAUUUAUCGCCCGAGGAGGGGCCCGC
Molecule: ribosomal RNA, 200 nt
Filed under: uncultured bacterium
Lineage: Bacteria
Description: partial 16S ribosomal RNA
Rfam family: Bacterial small subunit ribosomal RNA
Source: RNAcentral